UUUAUUAUUAAUAUAAAGGCUGCUGGGCCAAGGAGAGGUAGGACUCCACCUCCAAGAAAAGAUAUUCAAGAAAACAAACCAGCAGAGAAUGAGCUGCUGGCAAAAUUGAAGAAAAGAAGAAACAAAGAAGGUAGCACUGAUACUACAGACUCUGUGAGUUCAAGUCCAGAUCAGUCACCUGUUGCUAGUAGACGCCAGUUAGGUGUACCACCUACUAGUCCAUUGAAUAAAGAGCCAGGCCCUCCCACUCCUGUAUCCCCUUUAUUAAAAACACCUGCAGCUCCUGCCUCUAAUAAGAAUCCAUCUCCUAAUCGCAAGACAUCAAAAGUGUCAAUACCAAAUGUCUUUCAACAAACAUCACCAGGUACAGUAGAUUUCCUUUUUCUACUGCA
Long non-coding RNA from Amphimedon queenslandica, 392 nucleotides. RefSeq lists it as uncharacterized. The record is from RefSeq and is a predicted model, not a curated record. The transcript is spliced from 3 exons. NCBI's taxonomy places the organism in Eukaryota, Metazoa, Porifera, Demospongiae, Haplosclerida, Niphatidae.